Molecule: long non-coding RNA, 9020 nt
Organism: Heterocephalus glaber (naked mole-rat)
Lineage: Eukaryota; Metazoa; Chordata; Mammalia; Rodentia; Bathyergidae
Source: Ensembl
GGGGAGGCGGUGCGGGAGGGCGCUGGCCGCGUCCGCCCGCCGAGAGCCUCGGGUCGCGCAGCCUUCCUGAUGUGUCACCAGCACGUGGAGCCAGGUCGGGCCUUGCGAGCGAGCGGAACCCCCCAACUUUCGAAGGGUCUCGCUGCUCUGCUCCUGUCCCCGCUGCGCCGGGCGCGCCCCCUUUGGGGACUGGGCAGCGGCGGCCUCCGGGUCCGGGCAGGGCGGACGAGGCCGGGGCCCCAGGCCAGAUGCGCGCGGGGCGGCCCGAACGUCGGGGCGCGGAGCCCCGGCUCGCGGCUGAGCCACCAGCGUCUCGGCGGCGGCGGGGACUCGCGUGCGGAGGGCGUGGCCCGCGGCGGGUGAGGGUUCCCGCCCCCCUCUCCGAGCGGAGCGCAGAACAAUCACCCUAAAGAAGACAGAUCAUAAAAAGGGAAUGAAAGCCUAUGAUGAAUGAACAAGCUGUAUACACUUGCCAUUGUGAUCAGAGAAUAACACCGUCUGUGAGAAGUCCGACAACUGGAGAGGGGCCAGAGGACAGAAGAUGAGGAAAUAAAGUGAAGUUUCAUACACAGAGGGUCCAGGCAAAAAUCCUGAGCAAAGUAGAAACCAACUGUGGACAUUUCUGCAGAAAGGAGUCCUCACUUAGAGCUUCCAGGGAACCAGCAGGAAGUCUCAUCAAAUUGGGUUCACUUUCUAUAUUUAGAGCAUCAGAAGGCUGAACAUGUCAGACAGAGUUCAGGUAGGGGCACAUGUGGAGAUUUUUUUUUUUGGUACCGGGGAUCGAUUUUGGUACCUGCACUUGUGAGGCAGGCAGCGGAACCACUGAGCUAAAUCCCCGGCCCAAUGUGGAGAUUUUUUAAAAAUUUGAUACAGUUCAGUUAUUUUCUAGAAGAACGGGGUGACUACUUCAAAUGGAAAACAUUGACUCAAGGCCCUAAAAGUUGACUGGGAAGACAGUAGCAGUGACGAUGGGAUACGAGAUGCCGCAGUAAUAAUAGGACCCCGGAUCUUGGCAGCUCCAAGCAGCAAGGCUCAGUUCUCACCUCUGCUCUUAGUCCCCUGCCUGGAGCAACUGGAGGCUCCACCCUGCAUCUGUCUCCUCUGGGACCCAGGCUGAGGGAGCAACCCUUAUGAGGGGGAGGAAGCAGUGUGGUGAGCCAUGGGUUGGCUCUGAAAGCGUCACCCACAAGUGACAAGGCAAGUCUUAUGGCCAAGGUUAACUUCAAAAAUGGUAGGCAGUACAACCCCACUCCCCAUGGGGAGGAUGAGGAGCCAGAAAUAUGUCGGGGUAGCACCACAGACUCCACAGCCCCAGGGCUGCCAGUAUCUCAUGCAGGGAAGUGCAGGCUCUGGGCAAGAAAGGACUGGGUAGAGACUCAGCACUUUGGCAUCUGACUGGGGUCUCAGGGUCGGGAGCAAGUCAGAGGCGCAGACCAGAGCAACUGGAGGCUGGGAAAAAAGCACCAGGGCAGCAGAAGCGGACGUCAUCUCCAGAACCCUAAAUAUUCAGUGAUUGAGGUGUUUAAAUACUUGGCAGUCUAAUCAUUUAAAUGGACUAGGACAACUACUUAAAGUGACAAUAUAAAUGAACAUUUGUUGGCAACAAGCUACACGCUGGGAGUGUCCAUUUGGGGAAGGGGCUGUCAGAUGUUGAAGCAGCACCUGGCAGAGAGGGGAUCCUGUGGUAUUUGCCUCGGUGCGGACAGGCAGGAGGUGUGCAGGUUGCAUGGUGCUGGUUGAGACCUCAAAAGGUUGACAGACCAUCUGGAGACAAACACAUUCCCAUGCCAAUGUGGCAACUGGGGCAACUGGCAUUUCCUCCAGAGCUACUGGUGUCAUUUGUGUGCAAAUAAUGUGAGAAAAUUUGACUCUCUGCCUGGCUUGCCAGGAGGCUCCUGGGCAGAGUUAGCUUGUGGUUGCCUGGACCUCGUGUGGGGCUGCAGUAGGAAGGACUCUCCAAGUAUGACUAUGGGAGCAUGCACGUUUUCCGGACGUGGCCAUUUUGUUUCUCAGCUCCUCAAAUUUCUACUCCUAAAGUGAAGCUGUACACUGUGAUUAAGAGCACAGACUGCUGGGGCUGGAAUCCGGGGCCCAUCGCUCUGAGGGACCUUAAGGGAGACUUGACCAUUCUGGCCUCAGGACCACUGUGUGUGAAAUAAUAUUUCAGAGACUUGUGUCCAUAUAUAAAUUAAAUACAAAGGGCUUAGGAAAGAGCAUUCGAUAAAUAUUAAACAUUUAAAACCCUAUACUACUGCCUCUGAAUUUCAGCAAAGAAUUUGUGAGCCAUUCAGAGUAUCUUUGUAGGCAAACGGAAAAACUGAGACAGGUGAAUAGUGUGGUAAAAUCCUGUGAAGUCUGGGUUGGCUGGACUCCUGACAAGGAGAGUCAUUAAGGAAUUAGUGUCACCUUUCAAAGCAGGUAUUUCGUGGUGUGACUUAAGCAAUUCGGAGCAUAAUAAAGUGAUGCUGCAGAUCAAUUUUUAAAAAGCAUCACUUGGGCUGGGGAUUUAGUUCAGUGGUUCCACCACCUGCUUCGCAAGCACAAGGUCCCAAGUUCAAUCCCUGGUACAAAAAAAAAAAAAAAAAAAAAAAAAGCAUCAUUCAAUAUUGUUAACACGGGCAGUGGGGGAGUUUAAGCCCUUCCCACAAAGUAGUAUCACACUCAGAAAUGGAUGCCUGCAGCUGAGGGAGCUCAAGAGGCACGUGAGGGGAGGUGUACAAGGGGAUCUGGGGAAGAAACAGGUGUCAGAUUGUGUCUGGGGAGGGACAUGCUCAUUUCUCUCCCACUCAGGGGAAACUGCUGGGAGCCCAGGGCUCUGGGUAGGGAAUCAGGAACAACUGUAUCCCCUCAGCUCCUCUGGGCCCCACAGGAUCUGAUAGGCUGAGUGUGGUUCUAACACUGAGAGACGGAUGUACACUCACAUUACGGCCUCAGUUGCAAGACAGCCAUGUCCCCCAGAGCUGAACCAAAGAAAUGAUUCCAAUCCACUGAUUAAAAUCAUGACUCAUUCCAAUCCUGAUCCAUUCCCACAGUGAAGGAAAAACUGUGUUGUUGCUUCCAGCAGAAACAGGGCCCCUACUAUGAAUGGCUUUCAGCUUACUUCCUGACUAAAAACCCUGAAAGACAAGACUUCCUAUGUGGGACUGACCUUCCCAUUCCAUUCAUCUCCUCAGGACCCCUCAUCCCCUGAUCCUGCUCUAAUUUCCCCUCAAUAUCAUUCAUCAUUUUCUAAUAUAUUAUAUCACUUAUUUAUUUGGUGUCUUUAUUAUCUGUCCCCUAAAGGGGCUCAGAACGUGUCACCCCAAAAUAUGCUACUUCAGCCUAUUGAUUAUUUUGAACUUAAAGAAAUUGAGAACCGACCCAGGAAAAGUCAGUUAUUUACUUCCCCCGACCACCUAAUAUAAAGUACUGCAUAUAUUUUCUCUUUUGUAAAGGAAAUUUAUAUUUGUAAAGGAAAUUUUUGUUAAUAAAGUAACCUGUACCAGGAAGAGAGCUAUUCCUAGACAACCUUUAUCACUUGAGAUUUUUAUCUGCUGAGUAAGACCUUAUUCAUCAGACAUUUACCAACUUUAUUUACCUCCCUUCACCCUCCCAUAAUCUUCCCCAUCACUCCCCCAGAUCCCCAAUUCCUACUACUUUCUGUAGCUCAGGAUGAUACAUAAACUCCAAUCACCUGGCUGCCUCCUCAGGUCUCAUGUUUUCGUGGGACUCCCAUUGAAUAUCUUUGAAAUUAAACUUGUUUCUCUCUAGUUAAUCUGUCUUCUGUUACUGUAAUUUGUAGACUCAACCCAGAAAAGUUUCUUCUGGAAGCAAUUUUUUUCUCCCCUAUCUCCCCCUUCCCAAACUAUGAGCUCUAGAAGAACAGAAUUUUACCUAUUUUGCUCACUGAUAGACCCAAACCACCUACUAUAGAAUCUGGCAACUGGCUGACACUUUAUAAAUUAUUGUUAAGUUAAUGUAUCCCGAUAGGGAAAGGCUUUCUAAACUUCAUGUCACAAAAAGAAAGCAUAAAGGAAUAUACUGAUAGGUUUGCUCGUGCCAAAAUAUAAACAUUUCUGAACCUCCAUCACAAAACUGAAACAAAGUAACAGGAGGUCAAUAAAGUGAUUAUAUGUCCAUACAAUUAUAAAUUAAUAUACACUCUCAUGAGAACUGUGUGAUAUAUUGCCAAGUGAGAAGGACAGGUUCUAAAAUGUUGAUCCAGUGUUUGUUUAAAAACAUACAGGAAAGAUGAUACUUUCACCAGGGUGAUUUCUUGGGAGACCAAUUGUUAAAAUGACACUUAUCAGUACCAUAGUGAUUAUUGUUAGUGUUGUGCUUAGGAGUUCCUGAGAUAGUACCAAGUUUCUUCUUUUUCCUGUGGUCCUGGGAUUGAACCCAGGGCUUUGUGCAUACCACACAAGCAUUCUACUGCUGAGCGACACCCCGGUUCUGUUUCCAGUUUUUGUUGUUGUUAUUGCUAACAAUGCUGCUUCUAAACAAUAAUCCACAAAUCACUUCAAAUUCUCUGUAUUUUGUCAUAAUUACUUCUGCUUUGCAUUGUAGUGUAACUUUUCUAAAAAAAUGUUUCCUAAAAACUAGAUAACCUGGAAAGUAGGAAUGGAGACUUUGAUGUCAAAGACUUGUAUGCUGUACCCUCUAACUGCAUUUUCAUCUAAAUACUUAAUGUGUUUUUAACCCUGAGGAAAAUAUGAAUAAUGCACAAAAAGGUACAGAAAAAUGUCUGGAAGAUAAUAAUAAGAUGGGCUCUCUGGGGAAUUCAGCUGUUUUAAAAAAACAUAUUUAUUGGUUUGUUUCUCUGAAUUUUAGGAUUUUAUUUAUUUAUUUUAUUUUGGUGCCGGGAUAGAACUCAGGACCUUGUGCUUUUGAGGCAGGCAUGGUGCCACUGAGCUAAAUCCCCGCCCAAUGAUUUUAAAUAACAAACAUGUACAAAUUGAACAUUUAGAGGUUAUUUUUAAUUAAAAAGUGAACAAAUUAAUUAAACAACAAAUUAGGAAAAAGGGAUGUAAUAUGUGUGACUGACAAAAAGACUUAGAGACUAAUUUUACAGGUCCAUGUGACUGGCCUGAGCAAGCACAGUUUACACAUUGCUUGCAGGUGGAAGUUCCUGGAGGAACACUGUGUGGAUUCCACACUCUCCAUUGAUGGUGGCAAAGUCCAGUCCUUGCCCUAGUGGAACAAGAGGCAGAGGAAGAAGGGAUUUGCCCCUUCGCUGCCUGUGAGCUGGGACAUCUCGUUUUCUCUUGCCUUUGGACUGGGACAGGAUGGGGAUGGCUGUGUGGUUCCCAGGCCUUCUGACUCAGACUGACCUACACAUUGGCUUCCCAACUCUAGGUGGCCAACAGUGGGAUUUCUCAGCCUUCAUAGUUAUAUGACCUAACUCAUCAGAAUAAAUUUCCUUUAAUACAUGUCUCCCACUGGCUCUGUUUCUCUGGAGACCCUUGACUAAUACAGAAGUAUUAGUAUUAUAAAGAAGUGUUCUUUAAAAAUCAAUAAGAGCUGGGGAUUUAGCUCAGUGGUUCCACCACCUGCCUCACAAGCGCAAGGACCUGAAUUUGAUCCCUGGUACCAAAAAAAAAAUCAUAAGAAAUUCUUCCUCUGUCCCUUCUUUUUUCCUUCCUCUUCCUUCUCUUCCCUUCCUUCCUGAGUGAUUUAGUCCUAAAAUCUAUAGGUGGAGCAGAGUAAAGUAGGGGUGGACUGAGGAGCCCUGAGACCAGAUCAGAGUGUCAGACCCCAGACAGGGUGGGGAGGGCGUCUGCACAGGAGGGCUGUGCCAUAUGGGGUGACAGAGGCACAGCAGGGAGAAGGGGUCCCCGUGGGGAGGCCAUGGUUGGGCAUGGUCUGAGUUUGUCUCUGGGGUAGUUUAUCGAUUAAUUGUCAACUUGAGUGGGAACCCUCAGGUGAAUGGAGUCAGCAUGGUUCUGGACAUGGAAGACCCACUUUAAGGAGGACUGCUGUCAGAAUGGUAUAAAAGGAGAAUGGGAGGGAAGGAUCUGAGCUGAUUUUCCUUAGAAGAGCUCUGUUGCGGCUGAUGUUCCUUGGAGGAGCUCCGGUCUUCACCUUCACCUUGGGCCUCCUCUCCUGGUUUUCAGUGCAAACUCUUUCACUCCUUGCGCUGACCCUUGGGCCUCCCACACAGAUCCCUUGGUCUUCUGUCCCAGAUCUUUCCCUCUCCUUAUCUUUUGUUUUUGGUACCAGGGAUCGAACUUGGGACCUUGCACUUGCGAGGCAGGCAGCAGAACCACUGAGCUAAAUCCCCAGCCCAUAUCUUUCCCUUCCCUGAUGCAGACUUAUGGGGGGUGGGCUCCUGGCCUUCAGCUGGAUCCUUUGGAUCUCUAGCGCUCGGAUCUCUAGCACUACAACCCAUCUCCACUCUUCUCGAUUUGACUUAGGCCGGCCACGGUAGGCCAAUCUUGUAAAUUUCUGUGUCCUGCAUUAAAUCUGAUUCAGAGCAUAUGCAAUCUUUUGAGACUUGCCCCAGCCCUGCAAGCUCUUGUAAGCACUGACUAAUACAGUCUCCUAAGGGUUCGUGUGUUGAAACCUGGUACUCAGUGUAGCAAUGCAUUAGGUGUUGUGACUUCUUUUCUUUAUAAAGUACCCAGCCUCAGGUAUCUCAUUAUCAUAACAGACUAAUACCAGAAGAAAGUGCUACAUGGGUAUGGUAGUCCACAUAAAACGAGGGGUCGCCCAGGGGUACAAGGAACCAGACUUGAGAGGAGUGAGGUAGGGGGCAGCUUAACUGGGUGAAGGAGGCAAGGGCAUGCAGAGGGUUAGAGACCAAACAGGAUAAGCAGGGUGCCCAUCUGGGGAGGCAGCCCCACACAUAGUGUCAGUCUUAGUCUGCUUUCUGCUGCUAUGACAGAAUACUCAGACUGGGCAAAUUACAGAGAAUAAAUUGAUUGCCUGCGGACUUGGAUGCUGGCAGGAGCACCUACCAUGUGCCUGGCUUCCCCAGAGCAGGUGCCUCAGGGAGUCAGAUUCUUACAUGGAGCUUCUGAGCACCAAGAAGGAAGGGUUCAGCCAGCAAAUGCAGAUGCUAUAUCACCUUUCCUGAUCUGGUCUUUGAAACUGCACAGUGUCAUUUCUGUGACCUUCUUGGGCUCCAAGCAAGUCACAAACCUGCCCAAAUUCAAGAGGAAGGAAACAUAGACCCCUGUCCUUCAAUGGAAGCAGUACUGAAGUCAUGUUGUCAAAGAACAUGUGGCACGUAAGAUACUGUUGCUGUUGUUUUUGUAAAACACAAUCUGUCACAAAUGUCAGUAUUUGUUUCCUGAUUUUGCUGGUAGUGCUGUGUUUAUGUAGAAAUAUACAGCAGAGUAUUUUGUGGGUGGUGGAGCAUCAGAUCACAAAUGAUUCCAGAAAUAAAAAAGUUUUUUAUACUGUAUCUUCAACUUUUCUGUAAGUUUGAGAUGGUUUAAAAAUACAAAAUACUUAAAAUUCAAUAAGAAGGUGUACAUUCUGAUAGAAAAAGAAGGCAGGUGUUUGAAUAGGCAUAUUAUGAAGGAUAAGCAGAAGUAACUGGUAAACACAUAAUAAAAAUGUUCAGGACCAGGGAUUUAGCUCAGUGGUUCCACUGCCUGCCUCGCAAGCGCAAGGCCCCAAGUUCGAUCCCUGGUACAAAAAAAAAAAAGUUCAGUUGUGGUAUUCAAACAAAUGCAGAUCAUAAAUAGCAAGAAGAUGCCCUUGGAAAGAUUUUUACAAUAAAAACCAUUGGUGAAAGUGUGGAGGGCAUUGCCCUUGCAGAAAGGAACUCUCAGCAAUGUAUGUAUUUCCCCAAGACAUUGCAUAAGGAUUUAUGGUAACAUGUCAAAUAGCUCCAUGAAAUAUUACAUUAUAGAUGUUAGUUAAAUUAAGCCCCUACUAUUGGAUAUCUAGUUUUUAGAAAAAUGCCUCAGUGAUCCUAUAUUUAAAAUAUUUGUAUAUGAAACUUUAUACGUAUCUUGAAGAGGGAUUAUUAAAGACUGCCCCCAGGGAGUUUCUGCUUGACCACUGAGCUUGUGUUUCAACAUUUUAUACCUUUUGAUACUGUAUGUAUUGCCAACUUCCAUGUGCCAAGGAACAACAUGAGUAAGGGCUACUCAGUACCACUCCUGCUCAGGCUCUGUAUGUCCUCCUCUUUGCCUGGCCCACAGAAGAGGCAGUGUGGAGCUGGGUGUCAUUGGUCUACAGUCCAGCCAAGCCUGGGAACACAGCCUCUGAAUUAGGGGUUGGAGCACCUUAAAUUAUUGGCUUCCUGAGGGUCUAACUGGCAGUUGGUGAGCCAGAAAACAAGCUACCUCAAGUGACAGGCGCAGCUCUGUUUACACAGGCGUCUCCUCCUCCUCCUCAGCCCUGAGGGGCUGAUUUGGGUCCCUUGAUUAUGUUGCAGCAUGACCUUCACCGUCUUCACAGGGCACACGGAUGUCCUGAGGCAUAACACCAUCCCUGCAGGCCUCUUCUUUUUCCCCAGGGCAGCCUCACAGGCCACAAGGUCUCCAGGAACAUGUACGCUGAGCUCACCCAUCUUCAUCACAAACCUCACAGAAAGCUGUGCUCCGUCACCGGACUCCCUCCCAGCAGCCUUCUGGUGUUUGUACAGCAGGGUCUCAUUCACUGUCCACUUCCCUAACUCUCUGACACAACUGCCAGUCACUUCAAUCCACUUAUUCUAUCCCCACUUCUUCACAGCCUCCUCUAGGGCCUUGGUAGUCACAAUACAUGAAACUGAUAAAGGAGUAGUGCCUAGACUAUAUAAAGAGUACAAGUCACUAAGAAAAGGAGAAACAUUAAAAAUGGGCAAAGAAUAUGAAAUGCAGACCACAGAAGAGAAAACACAUUAAAAGUCAAUAAGCCUCUGAAAGGAUGCUUAAUUUCACAUGGAAAAAAUAAAAGAGCUGCAGGUAGAAUUAAUAUUGUUAAGGUAACCAUAUCACUGAAAGCAAUGUAUAGAUUUAACACAAUCCCUAUUAAAACACCAACAACAUUCUUUACAGAACUAGAAAAAAAAAUCCUAAACUUUACAUGGAACCAGAAGAGACCUC